This 1434-nucleotide long non-coding RNA is filed under the name Zostera marina. RNAcentral describes it as "long non-coding RNA (ZMAR_LNC000982)". The record is from RNAcentral. Lineage: Eukaryota; Viridiplantae; Streptophyta; Magnoliopsida; Alismatales; Zosteraceae.
UCAGAUUAAUGGAAUCGUAGGGAAUGAAUGUGGAAAUUUUGUAAAUUUUAAUUUGAUACCAAAAAUAAAAUUGUUUACAACUAUUUAAACAUGAGUUCAACUUGGAAAUAUAAAAUAUGAUAGGGACUACUAAUUAAAUUUCCCUUCUUAAUUGACUCAGCCACUUGUAUUGGAGCCAAUUAUGUAAUCGCUCAUCCAAGCUGGUGACUUGGUGCGUCGGCUCGGUCUGGGGCCGUUGUUUGAACCGGCUGGUUGCUUCCGUCUGCUUGUGUAAGUCGACGAUGGCCAGGAAUUCUUCUUUAACGGCAAGAUACCCCAUCGGCUUCGCAUCAGACACCACAGAUCUUGACGGUCAGUUAUAUCAUCCAUAUUGGCUAAAAAUUUGAUAACGUGUGCUUCGGGUCUAACCCAUUUUUCUAUAUAUUUAACUGUUAGUAGAUGAUCAGCCAAGGCUGAAGCUGUUCUCGAGGAACUUUGCCUUUUACUCAUAUUUCCGUGUGUCUGUCUGGGCCUAUCUAUAUUUUCUCCAUGGGCCUAUCUAUAUUUUCGAGUCCCCACUCUCUGUACUUUGGUUGCCACUUCAUCAGAUGUUAAGUAAGCUACUUGCUCCUGUAACUGUUCUAUUCUGUUCCACAUGUAGUCUUUCCAGUCACGUCUUUCUUGUUCCCUGUUUUGUUCAUCUUCCCCUAUUCUUAUUCUUUUUUCAGCUCUUUUCUCUGAACUUCUCCCACGAUUUUCAUAUUCCUCAGAUUUUUUUCUUUUGAAAAACAGAUCUGCUUUGAUUCAUCUCCCUUUCUUCUCUUAGAUUUCAUGCUUUCGUUACUUAAGCUCCUGCUUGUUUUUGUUGUCUUCCCUGCUUUUGUCUUACUCCGUUUUGUGGGUUCCUGUUCAUCUUUUCUCCUGCAAGAAGAUUCAAACGAACAAGUUUCGAACCUGUUUUGGAAGAUGAAUAACUUACCUUGCUCUUCCAUAAGUGGUUCACCAUUGUUUUUACUCAUAUUGAAUUACUAAUUUAGACUAACUCAGCUUUAGCUCUACUAUCGUACUCUCCCAGUUUUCUCCCCGUUCUUCUUCCUUCUUCUGUCUAUAAAUAACCCUCAUCUAUUGCUUAAACGACGACACAUUGCCCUACCAGGUGUCUCUUGUUACUCGUCACCUGGUCCCCAACUCUGUCUCCACCGGAUUGGUUGAUCAGUACUUGGGUUACCAAAAACAUCAUCCAAUAUUUUAUUUCUUUUAUAAAUCCUGCCUUCAUCAACUUUUUCACUUCUGAAUCGAUCGAUCGGCCGCCUCCUUCCUUCCCUUUUUUUAAACUUCUAACCUUUUGCCUAACUGGAGUUGCCUUUGGAUUGAUGAUUUAUACCCUUGAUUAGAUUGAUGUCGUUUACAAAUAUGAAUUUUUUGUACUCUUUUAGCAGUUUUAAGAGAUUUUCC